GCUUAUGUAGCUUAUUAACCAAAGCAAAGCACUGAAAAUGCUUAGAUGGAUAUAAAUAUCCCAUAAACA
Molecule: transfer RNA, 69 nt
Filed under: Neotoma mexicana (Mexican woodrat)
Lineage: Eukaryota; Metazoa; Chordata; Mammalia; Rodentia; Cricetidae
Description: tRNA-Phe
Rfam family: tRNA
About the family: Transfer RNA (tRNA) molecules are approximately 80 nucleotides in length. Their secondary structure includes four short double-helical elements and three loops (D, anti-codon, and T loops).
Source: RNAcentral